CGGCAGGGUUUAAGCCACGCGGCUAGCCAGCGUAUCUUAUAACUUCUUCACUUCUUGUGUCCUAAUCGGUUUGCUAAAUCCUGAUAUUUAUUAACACUAUUAUCGCUCUGAAUCUGCUUUCCCUUUUUCUAAAAUUCCAAGAUUGGGUUUCUGGAGAGUUCUCAUUUGAGAGUUAGCUGUAGCUUGAGACUGAACAUCUUGCCGCAAUGUGUUAGAAACCAUCGUUGACUAGCGAGGCCAGGUCUACCUGGCCUGCAUUGUCUUCUGUUGAAAUAGCAGCCGGGCGUCUGGCUGCCUGGCUGGCCCCAUCCCUGCUCCUCUGUCCAGUCCUGGCCUGGCACCUUCAUACUGCCCAGCAGGGAGUCAUCAUGUAACCGGAACUGAGUAUCUUCAAGAGAAGGGGCAACUCACUUUAAAUAACCUGGCUGUCCUAUUCAUUUAGGGCCUCCACUUCUAUGUGAAAGCCAGUCUUGAAAUUUUCUAUCAAUUCUUUCAGUGGUGAUAGGUGAAGAUUCCUCAAAGGAAAAAGAUGUCAAAUCAGAUGGCAGAGUCCACAUACUGAAUCUCCUGUACUUCACUCAGAGCAGGAAGAGUGCCUGAAUGUUUUGUUUUCUUCCCACACAAGUCAAGCAAGUUUGGUUACAAGUCAGGGAUUACUAGCAGAAGACAGGAAUGGAAUUGCUGGGUCUAAAUGAUCUUUAAAAGCUAUUCGUAUGGCUGCAGUAAUGAAUUUCCAGAGUCACACAUGAAGAAGGUAAGAGAUACUUAUUUUUCCUCCUCCAUCUUACUGUCCAUAAACAAACUCUCCUUUGUUGUCUCUUUGUCAGGGCCUUACUGCUCUGGAUUAUCCUCGACACUCACUCUGUAGACAUAAAAUACUCCAGGUCUACCCUAUGAGAGCAGUUCAGAGCCAGAGAGAAUUUCCAAAGAUCACAUGUCCCAACAUGUUGUCUUCUAACAAGAUAGAACACAACCAUCUAAUUCCUUAAAGUCCCCCAAAGAAGGGAAGAAUGCAAUUUCCCUCAGCUGCCUAGUCUCAGUAAUAUCUUCAAAUCACUAAUCUUAAAUCACACAUACAGUAAACAUUUUUUAACCAAGUUUUAGAGACUAUCCCCAAAGGCCCUCUUUCUUUACUUCCUCACUGAGCAUAUGAUGUCCCUUGAUGCCAGCUCAUUUUAUGUAUCUUCAGGACAACCAUGUCUAUUUUUAUCUAACACAGUAAAUACAAGUGUGGGAGAGCUCUGCCAUCAUUCCUUGAGGUAUUUUUCUUUUGCUUCAAUAGUCUUCUGCGAAUCUAUUUUCAGAAUCAACAAUAGUACCGCACAAUUUAACAUGCAGAAUUUCUGCUGUUGCUGCUUUUGUGAUAGCUCAGACUUGUUUUUUCUUUCUUGGUUCUUCUGAGACAGCAUAUAUAACAUGAGUAAUUAUUGCUGCUAAAGAACUGCUGGAGUCAGCAGUACCUCAUAUGAGCUGCACUUCCUCCUCCACUUCUUCCCCUCCCACCACAAAUUCUCCCCCAUAAGUUAAAAAUUAAAGACGCAUUACUGGGAUAAAGAAAUCUGACCUGAAAUAUGUGCUGCAGCAACAAUGGCAAGCAACCAAGAGUAUUAACAAUAAUUUCCAAUGUAGCUGGGAAGGCUAGAUGAUUUGUCUUUGAAAUGAGCCAACUCCACACACUUUCACAAGAUUAAAAUCAGUUUGCUUUCCCUUCUCACCUCCCCUAUUCCUACUCCCCCCCCCCCCCAAUGAAGAGUGGUUGAGG
This is a non-coding RNA of Odocoileus virginianus texanus, 1762 nucleotides long. Lineage: Eukaryota; Metazoa; Chordata; Mammalia; Artiodactyla; Cervidae. The record is from RefSeq and is a predicted model, not a curated record.